GCGGCGCAGCGUAUAAAAAGGCUCUCCCCCGUCAAAACUGUCUCUUUCCAACGUCUGCCAACAUUACAAACUUCCCACGAAGACCCGUGGACAUGCAAAAUGGUCCAGUUGGUGUAAAGAUCCCUGACUGCAAGGAGAGGUAAAGGCCGGAUACCACAAAAGAUGAUACAUGAGCAACACACCACAUAUGAUGUGCAUAGAGGAACAGAUGACAUCUUGGGUCUAGUUGACAUGAUGGUGCCUCUGAUUGCUGUAUGAGCAGAUGUUAUCCUGCCUUCCACGGAAGAAUCCAGUUAACCAGUCAAGCAUGGCAGACUUGGAGGGUUCUGUUACAGAGAACAAGGAAAAUCACUUAAGAUGUCGUCAUGCCUUCCAAGGAAGACUCCAGUUUACCAGUCAAGCAUGACAGACUUGGAGGUCCAGUUGGUGUAAAGAUCCAUGACUGCAAGGACAGGUUUCUUGGAAGUAUGCAGCUGUUCAAGUCAAGGACUUUCAAAGUGAGAUACAUGAGCAACACAACACCACAUAUGAUGUGCAUAGAGGAACAGAUGACAUCUUGGGUCUAGUUGACAUGAUGGUGCCUCUGAUUGCUGUAUGAGCAGAUGUAGGCCUCCUUUCCAUGGAAGACUCCAGUUUACCGGUCAAGCAUGGCAGACUUGGCGAUGUGCAAAGAGGAACAGAUGCCAUCCUGGGUCGAGUAGACAUGAUGGUGCAUCUGAUGGCUGUAUGAGCAGAUGUCGUCAUGCCUUCCACGGAAGACUCCAGUUUACCAGUCAAGCAUGACAGACUUGGAGGUCCAGUUGGUGUAAAGAUCCUUGACUGCAAGGACAGGUUUCUUGGAAGUAUGCAGCUGUUCAAGUCAAGGAUUUUCAAAGUGAGGUAAAGGCCGCAUACCACAAAAGAUGGCCCUUUUUAACUGAGUGGUUACUUACCCAUGGUUUUGUUUGGUGUUUUUAGAUACAUGAGCAACACCACGUUUGAUGUGCAAAGAGGAACAGAUGCCAUCUUGGGUUGAGUAGACAUGAUGGUGCUUCUGAUGGCUGUAUGAGCAGAUGUUGUCCUGCCUUCCACGGAAGACUAGUUUACCAGUCAAGCAUGGCAGACUUGGGGGGAACAUUGCUGGAUUAACUUGGAAACUGAAGAGCUAUCUGGAUGUCUGGCUGGCCACUGUGUUCCUGUAUGUUUAAACUGCAUCAUCUUGUACAUUAAACUGCAUUUUCAAAUAAACCAUUUAUUCCAUA
Nerophis lumbriciformis (worm pipefish) is the source of this 1241-nucleotide non-coding RNA. The record is from RefSeq and is a predicted model, not a curated record. Lineage: Eukaryota; Metazoa; Chordata; Actinopteri; Syngnathiformes; Syngnathidae.